Podarcis lilfordi (Lilford's wall lizard) is the source of this 74-nucleotide non-coding RNA. Lineage: Eukaryota; Metazoa; Chordata; Lepidosauria; Squamata; Lacertidae. The record is from the annotation of a GenBank genome assembly.
GCCUGGGAUAGAUCAGUCAGUAAAGCAUGAGACUCUUAAUCUCAGGGUCGAGGGUUCGAGCCCCGUGUUGGGCA